AUCAUCAUAACAUUUGAUAAAUCCUGUUGGACUUUGAGGUAGAAUAAUGUUUUAUUUACUCAAGCCAGAAUUUACUGAGGAACUUGUGCAGUUGGACGCUGAGCAACACGGAGGGAGGAUGAAUCAGCGGCGCCUGUAACCGAGCUACCAGGAGCGGUGGUGAGAGCCAGGUCUGAGGGGGAGUGGUGGUGCAACUGCGGGGCAUGUCAACCCAUGGCAACCAACGAUGAGUGUUUGUGCUGCGCAGAGUGGGACUUGUUACUGCCAUCAAUUGCGGGGCUACAGCAAAGAAAGCAGUACAACCAGAGAUUGUGUAACAAACCCCUUAGACUUUUUUGCGCUCAUCAAUCCUGGAGUUAUAGAGACUGCUCCAUGUCCCAAAAAUAAAAUGGAAGAAGCAGCUCAUACCUGCUGGACCGAAUGGACAGCUGUCUAUCAAUCAAUACAGGCUGGUUGCAUAUCGACUGGUGUUGGAGUGGGCACUGAAGGGAGAGAGACUGGGACGAGGGAAAAGAAGAGUCUUGCCUUCAUGUGUAGUUUGUGUAAUUGUCGCAAAUAUCCCUCACUGACAGGAGUCUACAUGGGAAUCAAGGAGGCAGAGGAUAUAAUGGGUCUGUUGUAAUUAUACUCCUAUGAUUCAGCUUCACAGCCAGACAUUGCCUAACCAAUUUUGUCAAAUCACUCUAAUAAAUGCUGUUUGAACCAG
This is a long non-coding RNA of Coregonus clupeaformis (lake whitefish), 706 nucleotides long. RefSeq lists it as uncharacterized. NCBI's taxonomy places the organism in Eukaryota, Metazoa, Chordata, Actinopteri, Salmoniformes, Salmonidae. The transcript is spliced from 2 exons. The record is from RefSeq and is a predicted model, not a curated record.